Molecule: ribosomal RNA, 496 nt
Filed under: uncultured bacterium
Lineage: Bacteria
Description: partial 16S ribosomal RNA
Rfam family: Bacterial small subunit ribosomal RNA
Source: RNAcentral
GAUGAACGCUGGCGGCGUGCCUAAUACAUGCAAGUCGAGCGAACGGACGAGAAGCUUUCUUCUCUGAUGUUAGCGGCGGACGGGUGAGUAACACGUAGAUAACCUACCUAUAAGACUGGGAUAACUUCGGGAAACCGGAGCUAAUACCGGAUAAUAUUUUGAACCGCACGGUUCAAAAGUGAAAGACGGUCUUGCUGUCACUUAUAGAUGGAUCCGCGCUGCAUUAGCUAGUUGGUAAGGUAACGGCUUACCAAGGCAACGAUGCAUAGCCGACCUGAGAGGGUGAUAGGCAAAACUGGAACUGAGACACGGUCCAGACUCCUACGGGAGGCAGAAGGAGGGAAUCUGCAGAAAUGGGCGAAAGCCUGACGGAGCAACGCGGCGUGAGUGAUGAAGGUCUUCGGAUCGUAAAACUCUGUUAUUAGGGAAGAACAUAUGUGUAAGUAACUGUGCACAUCUUGACGGUACCAAAUCAGAAAGCCACGGCUAACUCCGU